Molecule: ribosomal RNA, 497 nt
Filed under: uncultured bacterium
Lineage: Bacteria
Description: partial 16S ribosomal RNA
Rfam family: Bacterial small subunit ribosomal RNA
Source: RNAcentral
GAUGAACGCUGGCGGCGUGCCUAAUACAUGCAAGUCGAGCGAACGGACGAGAAGCUUGCUUCUCUGAUGUUAGCGGCGGACGGGUGAGUGACACGUGGAUAACCUACCUAUAAGACUGGGAUAACUUCGGGAAACCGGAGCUAAUACCGGAUAAUAUUUUGAACCGCAUGGUUCAAAAGUGAAAGACGGUCUUGCUGUCACUUAUAGAUGGAUCCGCGCUGCAUUAGCUAGUUGGUAAGGUAACGGCUUACCAAGGCAACGAUGCAUAGCCGACCUGAGAGGGUGAUCGGCCACACUGGAACUGAGACACGGUCCAGACUCCUACGGGAGGCAGCAGUAGGGAAUCUUCCGCAAAGGGCGAAAGCCUGACGGAGCAACGCCGCGUGAGUGAUGAAGGUCUUCGGAUCGUAAAACUCUGUUAUUAGGGAAGAACAUAUGUGUAAGUAACUGUGCACAUCUUGACGGUACCUAAUCAGAAAGCCGCGGCUAACUACGUG